UAGAGUUUGAUCAUGGCUCAGAUUGAACGCUGGCGGCAGGCCUAACACAUGCAAGUCGAGCGGUAGAGAGAAGCUUGCUUCUCUUGAGAGCGGCGGACGGGUGAGUAAUACCUAGGAAUCUGCCUGGUAGUGGGGGAUAACGUUCGGAAACGGACGCUAAUACCGCAUACGUCCUACGGGAGAAAGCAGGGGACCUUCGGGCCUUGCGCUAUCAGAUGAGCCUAGGUCGGAUUAGCUAGUUGGUGAGGUAAUGGCUCACCAAGGCUACGAUCCGUAACUGGUCUGAGAGGAUGAUCAGUCACACUGGAACUGAGACACGGUCCAGACUCCUACGGGAGGCAGCAGUGGGGAAUAUUGGACAAUGGGCGAAAGCCUGAUCCAGCCAUGCCGCGUGUGUGAAGAAGGUCUUCGGAUUGUAAAGCACUUUAAGUUGGGAGGAAGGGCAUUAACCUAAUACGUUAGUGUUUGACGUACCGAC
RNAcentral lists this ribosomal RNA (478 nucleotides) under Pseudomonas sp. 01WB04.4-47. RNAcentral's name for it is "bacterial SSU rRNA". It matches the Rfam family "Bacterial small subunit ribosomal RNA", at positions 1 to 482 of the family's 1533-position model. Lineage: Bacteria; Pseudomonadati; Pseudomonadota; Gammaproteobacteria; Pseudomonadales; Pseudomonadaceae. The record is from RNAcentral.